RNAcentral lists this ribosomal RNA (458 nucleotides) under uncultured bacterium. RNAcentral's name for it is "partial 16S ribosomal RNA". It matches the Rfam family "Bacterial small subunit ribosomal RNA", at positions 338 to 795 of the family's 1533-position model. The record is from RNAcentral.
CCUACGGGAGGCAGCAGUGAGGAAUAUUGGUCAAUGGGCGAGAGCCUGAACCAGCCAAGUCGCGUGAGGGAGUACUGCCCUAUGGGUUGUAAACCUCUUUUGUCGGGGAGCAAAAGCCGCACGUGUCCGGCUGUGAGAGUACCCGAAGAAAAAGCAUCGGCUAACUCCGUGCCAGCAGCCGCGGUAAUACGGAGGAUGCGAGCGUUAUACGGAUUUAUUGGGUUUAAAGGGUGCGCAGGCGGGUUUUUAAGUCAGCGGUAAAAUCGUGGGGCUCAACCCCAUCCAGCCGUUGAAACUGGGGAUCUAGAGUGUGCGAGAGGUAUGCGGAAUGCGUGGUGUAGCGGUGAAAUGCAUAGAUAUCACGCAGAACCCCGAUUGCGAAGGCAGCAUACCGGUGCACAACUGACGCUCAGGCACGAAAGCGUGGGUAUCGAACAGGAUUAGAUACCCGUGUAGUC